UAGCUUAGUAGUAAAGUAUUUGCUCACCAUGCAGAAGGCCCUGGGUUCGAUUCCCAG
This 57-nucleotide transfer RNA is filed under the name Cavia porcellus (domestic guinea pig). It matches the Rfam family "tRNA", at positions 8 to 63 of the family's 71-position model. From Rfam's summary of the family: Transfer RNA (tRNA) molecules are approximately 80 nucleotides in length. Their secondary structure includes four short double-helical elements and three loops (D, anti-codon, and T loops). Lineage: Eukaryota; Metazoa; Chordata; Mammalia; Rodentia; Caviidae. The record is from Rfam by way of RNAcentral.